UCUCUCUAGCACGUUGAAUACACCAGUUCCCAACGGAUCACUGAAGUUAAGCAACGUUGAGCGUGUUGAUAUCCGGAUGGGUGACCAUCUGGGAAAUCGCGUGUCAGGC
This 109-nucleotide ribosomal RNA is filed under the name Diaphorina citri (Asian citrus psyllid). The record is from RNAcentral. Lineage: Eukaryota; Metazoa; Arthropoda; Insecta; Hemiptera; Psyllidae.